GACGAACGCUGGCGGCGUGCUUAACACAUGCAAGUCGAACGGAAAGGCCCUUCGGGGUACUCGAGUGGCGAACGGGUGAGUAACACGUGGGUGAUCUGCCCUGCACUUUGGGAUAAGCCUGGGAAACUGGGUCUAAUACCGAAUAGGACCACGCGCUUCAUGGUGUGUGGUGGAAAGCUUUUGCGGUGUGGGAUGGGCCCGCGGCCUAUCAGCUUGUUGGUGGGGUAAUGGCCUACCAAGGCGACGACGGGUAGCCGGCCUGGGAGGGUGACCGGCCACACUGGGACUGAGAUACGGCCCAGACUCCUACGGGAGGCAGCAGUGGGGAAUAUUGCACAAUGGGCGCAAGCCUGAUGCAGCGACGCCGCGUGAGGGAUGACGGCCUUCGGGUUGUAAACCUCUUUCACCAGGGACGAAGCGUAAGUGACGGUACCUGGAGAAGAAGCACCGGCCAACUACGUG
This 462-nucleotide ribosomal RNA is filed under the name uncultured bacterium. RNAcentral describes it as "partial 16S ribosomal RNA". It matches the Rfam family "Bacterial small subunit ribosomal RNA", at positions 28 to 507 of the family's 1533-position model. The record is from RNAcentral.